AUGCAGAAGAAUGAUGAAAAGAAGGGUCUGUUCAGGGAUGAGCCUGGGAACAGUCUGCAGAGGAAGUGAUACUGGACCAGGAGGUAGAGCCGCAACUAGGGACUUCCAUCUCACCUGGGCUGAGGCAGCCACCCAGAGCUCUUGGGGAGAGACCCCUGAACCAGAAUGGAAAAAGGAAGAGGCUCACAGAGAACCUGUUGUACGGUUUUGUGUGCCUAUUGGACGAACAGUUUGGUACUCAGUGUGAUUGAGGAGUGGGACAAGAGCAGGAGGAGAGAUGUUGUGACUCUCUGUACCUCAAAGUAGCACCCUGGAACCCCCAUAUUCACCACUGUGAAAUUAUAUGUUAUGGACAAAGUAUGCCUUAUGAGGUAUCAUUUUGUAAGUCUUGAUCUGUUGAACAAUAGCCUGUUGGAAUGUAUAUACUAUCAUUGUAUGUGAUGUUAUGAAGUAUUACUAUAUGUGUUACUGAACUAUGUUGUGAGGUUGGGAACACCCACAACCAGCCUUUCAAUUACAACGAAGCAGUAGCCAUCAAUAGCCAGAUGGUGUUAAUGGCUCAUCAACAGACAAUCGCGAGAUGAUCCCAGGGGGUGCAUGGCAGUAUAGUGCCGCCGGACAGCACUCCGCCAUUUUUUUCUUCGGCAGCAGCUCUGCACGUCCACGGCUGGUGUUCCCCUCCGGCGGCCCGCCUGCGGCUGGUCUUCCGGUCUUCUUCCGGUGGCGGCGUGCCUGUGGCAGGUCACCCUGGGGGUGCACGGGCCAAAAAGUUUGGAGACCGCUGUCCUAGAGACUUCUCAGAGAAGCCACAUAUGCCAUGGGGGCAGACUAACCCACACCACAGCAAAGAGCGUUUCAGCAAGAUGGAAGAAAGUAUAAAAAAGACAGUGACAUCAUCACUUGGCUUCCCCCCAUCCCCAAUCUCCACACUUGGAAGAACGUCUGGAGGACAAAGAUUUUGAACUGGGGAAGAGUGGUUCCAGGCUGGAAGGUAGUCUGGGCCUGUGUAUGAAGGAACUGUAACCUGCUUGUAUCAUCUG
This is a long non-coding RNA of Caretta caretta (loggerhead turtle), 1040 nucleotides long. RefSeq lists it as uncharacterized. The record is from RefSeq and is a predicted model, not a curated record. NCBI's taxonomy places the organism in Eukaryota, Metazoa, Chordata, Testudines, Cheloniidae.